UUGGAGGGCAAGUCUGGUGCCAGCAGCCGCGGUAAUUCCAGCUCCAAUAGCGUAUAUUAAAGUUGUUGCAGUUAAAAAGCUCGUAGUUGAACUUCGGGAUCAAUGGAUUGGUCAUGCCGAUGGUGUGUACUGGUCAUAUUGGUUCUCACCUUCUAAGGAACCAUAAUGUCAUUUAUUUGAUGUUGUGGGGAAUUAGGACUGUUACCUUGAAAAAAUUAGAGUGUUUAAAGCAGGCUACGACU
RNAcentral lists this ribosomal RNA (242 nucleotides) under Glomus sp. RNAcentral's name for it is "partial 18S ribosomal RNA". It matches the Rfam family "Eukaryotic small subunit ribosomal RNA", at positions 548 to 792 of the family's 1831-position model. Lineage: Eukaryota; Fungi; Glomeromycota; Glomeromycetes; Glomerales; Glomeraceae. The record is from RNAcentral.